CUUCUUAAUAGGCUGGUCACACCUGUGCAGGAGUCAGUCCCAGUCAGGACACAGCAUGGACAUGAGGGUCCCCGCUCAGCUCCUGGGGCUCCUGCUGCUCUGGCUCCCAGGUGCCAGAUGUGCCAUCCGGAUGACCCAGUCUCCAUUCUCCCUGUCUGCAUCUGUAGGAGACAGAGUCACCAUCACUUGCUGGGCCAGUCAGGGCAUUAGCAGUUAUUUAGCCUGGUAUCAGCAAAAACCAGCAAAAGCCCCUAAGCUCUUCAUCUAUUAUGCAUCCAGUUUGCAAAGUGGGGUCCCAUCAAGGUUCAGCGGCAGUGGAUCUGGGACGGAUUACACUCUCACCAUCAGCAGCCUGCAGCCUGAAGAUUUUGCAACUUAUUACUGUCAAC
Molecule: long non-coding RNA, 389 nt
Filed under: Homo sapiens (human)
Lineage: Eukaryota; Metazoa; Chordata; Mammalia; Primates; Hominidae
Description: HSALNT0035576
Source: RNAcentral